ACCGGGAAGAAAACCGUUCUGAUCUUUUAGUACAAAUGCAAAACUAAUUCAUCAGCCCCUCUACCUGCUUUUCUGGGAAGGUAGUUUGAAGAAAUUGGCGGGAAGAUACUUUGCUCAGAAUUGCCAGAGCCCCAUGGAGCCCCAUCCAGAACAUGCAGCUUUACUAAAGUCUCAUGAUGAAACCGAUUUAUCAUUUUGCCCUUCCCAUAGCUGAGGGUCAAAGGGCAGCCACCACAGUUUGGCUAAGGGCCCUUCUUGUGUACAGAAUACUUCAAACUGGCGCUGACCAUGGAGGCCUGGAUGGAAGAACACCCCAGGUAUUCAUUCUUCUGGAGACCAGCAGACCAGAAACCAGGUCAUCCCCAUCAAGAACUUUUCCACCUGCCUCAGUUCUAGGGAGAGCCGGUCCACUGUCCAUUCACAUGUGGUAAGC
Molecule: long non-coding RNA, 433 nt
Organism: Lutra lutra (Eurasian river otter)
Lineage: Eukaryota; Metazoa; Chordata; Mammalia; Carnivora; Mustelidae
Exons: 3
Source: RefSeq, a predicted model, not a curated record